AGCAUCAGUGAGUUUGAUCCUGGCUACAGAACGAACGCUGGCGGCAUGCCUAACACAUGCAAGUCGAACGAGACCUUCGGGUCUAGUGGCGCACGGGUGCGUAACGCGUGGGAACCUGCCUUUAGGUUCGGAAUAACAGUGAGAAAUUACUGCUAAUACCGGAUGAUGUCUUCGGACCAAAGAUUUAUCGCCUUUAGAUGGGCCCGCGUUGGAUUAGCUAGUUGGUGGGGUAAAGGCCUACCAAGGCGACGAUCCAUAGCUGGUCUGAGAGGAUGAUCAGCCACACUGGGACUGAGACACGGCCCAGACUCCUACGGGAGGCAGCAGUGGGGAAUAUUGGACAAUGGGCGAAAGCCUGAUCCAGCAAUGCCGCGUGAGUGAUGAAGGCCUUAGGGUUGUAAAGCUCUUUUACCCGAGAUGAUAAUGACAGUAUCGGGAGAAUAAGCUCCGGCUAACUCCGUG
RNAcentral lists this ribosomal RNA (462 nucleotides) under uncultured bacterium. Its description in RNAcentral is "bacterial SSU rRNA". It matches the Rfam family "Bacterial small subunit ribosomal RNA", at positions 1 to 507 of the family's 1533-position model. The record is from RNAcentral.